CCUACGGGAGGCAGCAGUGGGGAAUAUUGCACAAUGGGCGAAAGCCUGAUGCAGCAACGCCGCGUGAGCGAUGAAGGCCUUCGGGUCGUAAAGCUCUGUCCUCAAGGAAGAUAAUGACGGUACUUGAGGAUGAAGCCCCGGCUAACUACGUGCCAGCAGCCGCGGUAAUACGUAGGGGGCUAGCGUUAUCCGGAAUUACUGGGCGUAAAGGGUGCGUAGGUGGUUUCUUAAGUCAGAGGUGAAAGGCUACGGCUCAACCGUAGUAAGCCUUUGAAACUGGGGAACUUGAGUGCAGGAGAGGAGAGUGGAAUGCGCAGUGGAGCGGUGAAAUGCGUAGAUAUUGGGAGGAACACCAGUUGCGAAGGCGGCUCUCCGGACGGUAACUGACACUGAGGCACGAAAGCGUGGGGAGCAAACAGGAUUAGAUACCCGGGUAGUC
RNAcentral lists this ribosomal RNA (439 nucleotides) under uncultured bacterium. RNAcentral's name for it is "partial 16S ribosomal RNA". It matches the Rfam family "Bacterial small subunit ribosomal RNA", at positions 338 to 795 of the family's 1533-position model. The record is from RNAcentral.